This 29-nucleotide non-coding RNA is filed under the name Bombyx mori (domestic silkworm). Lineage: Eukaryota; Metazoa; Arthropoda; Insecta; Lepidoptera; Bombycidae. The record is from RNAcentral.
UAGACGUGAUUUAUUUGCAUCUACUGUGC